AGUGAACGCUGGCGGCGUGCUUAACACAUGCAAGUCGAACGAGAACGGGCUAUAGCUUGCUAUAGUUGACAGCUAAGUGGCGCACGGGUGAGUAAUGUAUAGGUAAUAUGCCUCUUACUAAGGGAUAACAAAUGGAAACGUUUGCUAAUACCUUAUACUCCUUAUUAACAUAAGUUAAUAAGGGAAAGAUUUAUUGGUAAGAGAUUAGCCUGUAUUGUAUCAGUUAGUUGGUGGGGUAAUGGCUUACCAAGACUAUGACACAUAACUGGUUUGAGAGGAUGAUCAGUCACACUGGAACUGAGACACGGUCCAGACUCCUACGGGAGGCAGCAGUGGGGAAUAUUGCACAAUGGACGAAAGUCUGAUGCAGCAACGCCGCGUGGAGGAUGACACAUUUCGGUGCGUAGACUCCUUUUAUAUGAGAAGAUAAUGACGGUAUUAUAUGAAUAAGCACCGGCUAACUCCGUGCCAGCAGCCGCCGUAA
Molecule: ribosomal RNA, 484 nt
Filed under: uncultured bacterium
Lineage: Bacteria
Description: partial 16S ribosomal RNA
Rfam family: Bacterial small subunit ribosomal RNA
Source: RNAcentral